This 202-nucleotide long non-coding RNA is filed under the name Elaeis guineensis (African oil palm). RNAcentral describes it as "long non-coding RNA (EGUI_LNC038016)". Lineage: Eukaryota; Viridiplantae; Streptophyta; Magnoliopsida; Arecales; Arecaceae. The record is from RNAcentral.
GCCUGAGAAGAGAACAAGUAAACAAUACUCAAGUGGAAGUUUACUUCAAGUGGAAGCUGAGGAAUGUAGGACUAGACAAACAAUUUCAAGCAUCGACUAGAUUAGCAAAGGAUCAAGAAUAAGAGAGAUUUAAUCAUAAUUAUGACAUGAUUAGCAUACUCCAAAGUUUCAGAAACUAUUAAAUUACCGCCUUUUAUCUCAC